GACGAACGCUGGCGGCGUGCCUAAUACAUGCAAGUAGAACGCUGAAGGAGGAGCUUGCUUCUCUGGAUGAGUUGCGAACGGGUGAGUAACGCGUAGGUAACCUGCCUGGUAGCGGGGGAUAACUAUUGGAAACGAUAGCUAAUACCGCAUAAGAGUAGAUGUUGCAUGACAUUUGCUUAAAAGGUGCAAUUGCAUCACUACCAGAUGGACCUGCGUUGUAUUAGCUAGUUGGUGGGGUAACGGCUCACCAAGGCGACGAUACAUAGCCGACCUGAGAGGGUGAUCGGCCACACUGGGACUGAGACACGGCCCAGACUCCUACGGGAGGCAGCAGUAGGGAAUCUUCGGCAAUGGACGGAAGUCUGACCGAGCAACGCCGCGUGAGUGAAGAAGGUUUCCGGAUCGUAAAGCUCUGUUGUAAGAGAAGAACGAGUGUGAGAGUGGAAAGUUCACACUGUGACGGUAUCUUACCAGAAAGGGACGGCUAACUACGUG
This 495-nucleotide ribosomal RNA is filed under the name uncultured bacterium. RNAcentral's name for it is "partial 16S ribosomal RNA". It matches the Rfam family "Bacterial small subunit ribosomal RNA", at positions 28 to 507 of the family's 1533-position model. The record is from RNAcentral.